Molecule: non-coding RNA, 91 nt
Filed under: Ferroacidibacillus organovorans
Lineage: Bacteria; Bacillati; Bacillota; Bacilli; Caryophanales; Alicyclobacillaceae
Description: Acidibacillus ferrooxidans c-di-GMP sequence
Rfam family: c-di-GMP-I riboswitch aptamer
About the family: GEMM was predicted in a large-scale screen for bacterial structured RNA regulatory elements. Genes associated with GEMM are involved in a diverse array of functions, including chemotaxis regulation, signal transduction, secretion and chitin.
Source: RNAcentral
AUAUUAAUCAGGCAAACUUACUGAAAAGUAAGGGCGCAAAGCCACGGACCUAAAGCGCAUGCACAGUCGCCAAGGCAGCCGGGUUGCCGGA